Molecule: long non-coding RNA, 1298 nt
Organism: Alexandromys fortis (reed vole)
Lineage: Eukaryota; Metazoa; Chordata; Mammalia; Rodentia; Cricetidae
Exons: 3
Source: RefSeq, a predicted model, not a curated record
GGGAGCUCUUCCCAUUUGACCUACGGGGUCACACUUUCUAUUUCCUGUGAAUGCCAACUAGGAGAAGGCAGUUGGGUAUCCUGAUGGAACCUCCAUGGCAACAAAAUGCUGUUUAAGAACGGUGUCAUCUUAUUCUCUUCAUACCUGCUGCUGCUCUUCACAGCCACAGGAAUAUGCAUGAGCCUCAGUGAAGAUCUCCUCGUGAGCCCGGAUGAAGAGAGAGACGAGAGAAGCAUCUUUGCCUGUUCUCCUUGUGGGCAGGGCUACUUACCAGAUGAGCGGGAGCAUCCUCUCACCAUGACCAGGACCAUCCCUUCACCAUGACCAGCAGCAUCCUCUCACCCUGACCAGGACCAUCCCCUCACCAUGACCAGGAGCAUCCCCUUCACCAUGACCAGGACCAUCCCUUCACCAUGACCAGGACCAUCCCUUCACCCUGACCAGGAACAGCCUCUCACCCUGCAGCCUGCUGAAAUUGCUCAAACUAUUUUUUUAAAGAUGUAAUUUUUAAAUUUAUUUAUUAUGUAUACAAUAUUCUGAUGGAGGUGGGUCUUGUAUCAAUUUCUGUCUGUGUGAAUGCCUGCAGGCCAGAAGAGGGCACCAGACCCCAUUACAGAUGGUUGUGAGCCACCAUGUGGUUGCUGGGAAUUGAACUCAGGACCUUUGGAAGAGCAGGCAAUGCGCUUAACCUUUGAGCCAUCUCUCCAGCCCCCUCGCUCAAACUAUUUAACCCUAAAGCUAUUUAAUCUGCUUAUCCACAGCACUGUCCCUUUCUAUAGAGACCCUGCAAAGGCUCUUGCUUGCCUUCUGUUUCUGACUCACCCUGGAGCCUUCUCGUAUGGCCCUCUGUGUGGGCUGUGUUUUUUUGUCCCCAGGAGUUAUAAAUUUAAACUUUGAUCUUUGUGACAUUCAUUUCUGUGCCUAGCGUUACAACUUAUUAAAACAAACCCUGUCUACAUUUACAAAUGAAAAAGAUACUUCUUAAAAGCCUCACCUUCAACAUUCUGGGGGAAAUACUCAGGAAAUAAACAAGGAAAUGGCAGACUUUUGAGCCACACUAUAAACAAAAUAGGCUUAAUGUAAAAAUAAUGGAAUAUUCUUUUAAAAAGUUUUAUUUUGGGUCUAGAGAAAUGGCUGAACAGUUAAGAGCACUAACUACUCUUCCAUAGGACCAGGUUUGAUUCCAAGCAUCCACAUGGUGGACAACAACCAUCUGGCUCUCCAGUUACAGGGGAUCUGAUGCACUUUCCUGGUCUCUGCAUUUGUGGUGCACAGACAUAUAUGCAGACAAAACACCC